UACGUAGGGUGCAAGCGUUGUCCGGAAUUAUUGGGCGUAAAGAGCUCGUAGGCGGUCUGUCGCGUCGGAUGUGAAAAUCCAGGGCUCAACCCUGGACCUGCAUUCGAUACGGGCAGACUAGAGUUCGGCAGGGGAGACUGGAAUUCCCGGUGUAGCGGUGAAAUGCGUAGAGAUCGGGAGGAACACCAGAGGCGAAGGCGGCGACCUGGACAGGUACUGACACUCAACUACGAAAGCGUGGGGAGCAAACAGG
This 253-nucleotide ribosomal RNA is filed under the name uncultured bacterium. RNAcentral's name for it is "partial 16S ribosomal RNA". It matches the Rfam family "Bacterial small subunit ribosomal RNA", at positions 524 to 776 of the family's 1533-position model. The record is from RNAcentral.